GUAGAAAACAACAUCGUGGCUUGCACAUGGAGUGUCCUUCCAGCAGCUCUGUGAAAUUACAACCACUGCUCUUUGCUGUGUUGGAGGUGGGCCACCCAGUGCAGAAGAAACCCUCCUCCUAGCUGCCUUCAGAAGAGAUCCUCCCCCUGGCUGCCUUUGGAUCAAGACAGAAUUCUCAGCUCCUCCAGCAACAAGUCUGCCUGCAUGAUGCCAUGCUUCCUGACAUGACCAUAAAUGGACUGAACCUCCGAAAAUGUAAGCCAGUUCCAAGUAAACGCUUGCCUUUAGAAGAGUUGGUUUGGUCAUGGCAUCUCUUCACAGCAAUAAAACCCAAAUGAAGACCGUGGUCUCUGUCUCCUGUUCACCCUGCACUUCCUCCUGCUCAGAGUUGGUGUGGAUGGAUGGAUGACCAGGUCUUCCCCAUGGACAUCUGGGGCUAUUGCCUUUGCUCUCUCCAGAGAUGGUUGAGAGGAUAUGGGAGCUUGGAAGCUUGAAAGAUGGUGGACAGCAAUCGACUGGCAUGCAGGCGUCUCACAGCUCUUCUCAACCCUUCUCCAUCUCCCUAUCUUCUCUUUCCCUUUUCUUUCUCUCUUUCUCUUGUCCCCUCCUUCUUCCCUUCUUCCCCCCUCUCUCUUUCUUUAGAGUUUCACUAUGUAGCCCAGGCUGGCCUGAAUUGGUGACCAAGCCUCCAUAGUCUUGGCUGUCCUUUGGUUAGUCUGUUUCCUUGUCCCUUUGUCUCAUAGUCUCUGACAUCCUGUCUUCUCCUUGUAUUGCCCUUGCAGCAGCCUUGGCUGGAGUCUGGGCCUCUUGUCUAAUGGAGUCCUCAGCUGCACACAGGUUGAUCGAUCACCCUGGGUGUGGCUCUGGCUUUGGUUUGCUGUCAGGUUACAUCUCAAGGCAAGACACUCACCUGCAGAGACGAAGAAGAUGCCGGCGCUGAGGAUAACACUGUGCCUACUGCGGUGGAACUCGCUGGCAGCCACACAGAGUCCCCCGAAAAACAGCAGAGUGACGCUGAGGAUGGGGAAGACACUGGAGGCCCUCACAGCCCCUGUGGAGAGAGGAGAGAAGUUUUCAUCGAUGCUCCAGCCAGCCUUGGGACCCACCUGCCGUGGUCAUGGAAUGUCUGUGAACCAAACAGUGCAGCACUGGAGAGAAGUCUGAAUCCCAUAGAGGUGUGAGACCAGUGCCAGUCACUCAGGGGCCUAUGAUCUGGAGGCCCAGUACCUGACAGCUGACCUCUUAGACUUUCAAGCAAUUCUACCAGUUGCAUGCAUUGCAGCACCUGGAGGAGCACAAAGAGCUGACUGACAGAUGAGGAAAGUGAACUAUCUUGUCCCAGGACCAACCUCAUGAGAAGGAGGAAGUCCAGCAGGGUCAAAGCUUGGCCUAUCACAUUCCAGUCCCAAACUGUACUGGUUCUAGUGGAAAGUUCCUACAGAGACAUUAUCCCUGUCCCAAUAGGAUUGAAACUGCAGAGAUGUCAAAGGAGAGGUGAACUUUGGUUUGUAUUUAUCUUGCCAGGCCUUGCCCUUGGGGACCCCACCCAUUAGCACAUCACCCAUUAGCACCUCACCCAUUAGCACUUUGCCAUUAGCACCUCACAUCACCCACUGGGAAAGGUGAAAACUGCACUGAGUUGAAGAAAAUUCCUUAGAUUUUCUUCUAAGGAGACUAAAAAGAACCUUUCAAUUCACCUUUUCUUUUCUAUUUCUAGCUCACUGAAAUGAAAGAAAGUUCAACAUCAGAGCCUUGGGAAUGCAUGUCUAUACUUUGAGGUGGAUAAUGAUGAGCCUCAAACUCAAUAGGUAAGAGGGUGAUGGCAACAGACCCUCUCCUUCCUCCACCGAAGACUGGAGAGGUAGGGGAACUUACGGAGAAGAUAUUCUGCUGUAUCCUGUUCAUAGUCUGCAUCUUCUGGGAAGUGAUCGAUUUUCUUGCACACGCCUCGGAAAGCUCCUGUGAAAACAGACACGGCCCUGAGCCAAAGGGAGAGUGUUACUGGGGCCCAGGCUGGGUCUGCAACUCCAUAUUGUGUAUACUUCCCUGUUCAUUGGCAACUGGGCAGAGAGGCCCAACAGCUGAUUUAUGUAAGGUACAAAAGAGACUAGUGCUGUAGUUUGGAUCUUGAGUGUCCUUUCGAGACCCAUGCAUUAAAAGAUAGACCUGGGGCUGGGACUAGAGUUCAGGGGUAGUUGUUUCCUAGCAUGUCUAAUUUCUAGCACAUAUGCAGACACACACAGACACACAGAAAGACUCACACAGACACACAGACACACAGAACCCUCUGCCAUUGGUAGGAGGGGUUAGAACUUUUGAGUCCAGGGGGAGGGAGUUAGGUCAUUGGGUGCGUGCCUUAGAAGGGGGUUUUAGGAGCCGGGCCCUUUUCUCUCUGUUUCCUAGUCACCAUGAAGAAAACAGCAUUGUUCUCCCAUGUCCAACAUGAACCACUCAUGUUCUAUCUCACCCAAAUUUCCAAACAUCUGAGCCAAGUAACCAUGCCCUGAUACCUCGGAAUCAAUGUCCACCAAUCCAUUUCUUUUCUUUAAGAGUUUAUUUAUACCAGGCAUUGGGGUAAACACCUGUGGUGGGGGAGGGUAGGAGCAGGGAUGCAGGUUCAAGACCUGUCUGGGACACAUGUCAAAUUCAAAGCCAACUUGGGAAACCGAGCAAGACCUCCUCUCAAAAGUAAGGUGAGGGGGCUGGAGAGAUGGCUCAGCGGUUAAGAGCACCCGACUACUCUUCCAGAGGUCCUGAGUUCAAGUCCCAGCAACCACAUGGUGGCUCACAACCAUCUGUAAAGAGAUCCGAUGCCCUCUUCUGGUGUAUCUGAAGACAGGUGAAUAAGGGAGAGUUUCACUUGCAGUUACUCAGGUAAACAAGGAGCCAACAUUCCACUCUGGGCAUCGGGAAGGGGUUAUUCUCUUGUCUCCAGCCUGCCAAUUCUGACCAUAGGCCCCUCUAGUCCUCUCUUCCCUCACAACCCACCCCUAUCCCCCGCCAGCGUGGGUCACUCAGAUCCACAGAG
Molecule: non-coding RNA, 3028 nt
Organism: Rattus norvegicus (Norway rat)
Lineage: Eukaryota; Metazoa; Chordata; Mammalia; Rodentia; Muridae
Source: RefSeq, a predicted model, not a curated record